GACAGACGAGGAGAGGCCUUGGGUGUGACAUCAACGGAACCUGAGGGAAGCAAAACUCAGCAAGGACGCACCCGGUCUGCUGGCCUGGGGCUUUGGGUUGGUGACGUGGACGAUGAGUCUGAUUUUGGGGCAUCCGAGCAGUUGUGCAGCGGUCAGUGGGGUGCAGGGAUGGACGUGAAGUCAACCCACGCCGGCCUCAGAGCCCCAGCGACCUGCAGGCAGGUCAGGAGCCAGAGGCUGGGGCGGGGGUGGAGGAGGCCAAGGGAGGAAGGAAAGGUCGGGGAAGCACAGGCGGGUCCCUCUUUCCAGAUUCCCUCCUUUAAGAGGGCGGGGAGAAGAAAGGCCCCAGCAGGCAGCGAGCUCAGGUGCCCUCGCCUCGCCGCCUCUUUCCUCUUCCUGUGAAGAGCGAGACAGGGGAAGGAGCAGGGCGAUUCCCCGCUGGCUCCAGGAGGUGGGGCAGCAGGGGCCUGGGAGUGAAGGCGCUGUGGGGCCCCGACAACCUCCUUUCUGCCCAGACACGAAACCCGAACCUUCCCGAACCUUCCCACACCCGCCUGUGCUGAGGUGCUGCCCCCACCUGAACAGGGAGGAGGACGGCCAAGGCCUGGGAGGCAGGAUGGAGCCUCCCUUUAGGGGAGUGAGCACUUCCUCCUGGGAAUCUGCGUGUUUCCAAGAAUCAGAACUGACCAAGAAAACUAUCCCCGAGCUCAGGAAAGCCAGGGAGAAGAGUGGCCUCCCACCUGGACCCACCCGUGUGCCAUCGCCGGGCCCGCGAUUUCCACAAGACCCAAUGGCAUGGCAGGAGAUUGCCCAAUUUCUGGUUCUUCAAUUCUUUUCCAAAAAUCCCAUUUGUUUUAUAUAUUAUUUUAUGUGGUGUGUAUGUGUGUGUAUGUUUCUGUUCCAGCUGAAAAAAUUCCGUUUACAAACAUGUCCAAAGCCUCUGUACCCAAGAGGUUGAAAAUUAAAUAAAAUAGGCGUGUCCAGCUCCCACUCUCCCGUCUGCAGGCACAACCCGAAGCCUGGAAUAAGUCACUAGCCCAUCACUGUCUCCCAAGACACGAACCUGAGACGGAAGUGCUUGGGAAGCUGCUGUGAGAGACAGAGUACCCAAGAAUGAGGCUGGGAGGCUGCUUUUUUCUGUCAUGUUCACCCCCGACAUGCACGCGUCCGUGUGUGCUCGCUCGCGCGCUCUCUGUCAACAAAACCUCCCCCAGCGUCUUUCCUGGUGACUCCCGACUGCUUCUGCCCCCUCCCCAUGGACCAGUUUCUCUCCCGUUCACAGCAUCCUAGCCCACCCCAGUCUCCCAACUUUCUUGAAAGGGGACUGACGGUGCCUAGAGCCUUGGAGAGGACACAGGGAAAGAACUCUCCUCCUGAAUUUUGACUUUGUGCCCAGAAGCACAGGUUUUGGAGAGAAUCAAGUCACAGCCUCGUCGGUUAAGAAAGCUCACUGGGGCGGAUUAUGAGGUCAGGAGAUCAAGACCAUCCUGGCUAACACGAUGAAACCCUGUCUCUACUAAAAAAUACAAAAAAUUGCCAGGCGUGGUGGCGGGCGCCUAUAGUCCCAGCUACUUGGGAGGCUGAGGCAGGAGAAUGGUGUGAACCCAGGAGGUGGAGCUUGCAGUGAGCUGAGAUCACGCCACUGCACUCCAGCCUGGGCGACAGAGCGAGACUCUGUCUCAAAAAAAAAAAAAAAAAAAGAGGCCGAGGUGGGCAAAUCACGAGGUCAGGAGAUCGAGACCAUCCUGGCUAACACGGUGAAACCCCGUCUCUACUAAAAAAUACAAAAAAAUUAGCCAGGCGUGGUGGUGGCCGCCUGUAGUCCCAGCUACUUGGGAGGCUGAGGCAGGAGAAUGGCGUGAACCCGGGAGGCGGAGCUUGCAGUGAGCUGAGAUCGCACCACUGCACUUCAGCCUGGGUGACAGAGUGAGACUCUGUCAAAAAAAAAAAAAAAAAAAAAAAAGAAAGCUUACUGAAAUCAACUGUGUGGGGUGCUUUCUGAAAUGCGUUUCUUAUUUAGCCUUUCAGGUUGCCCAAGAGCAAAGAAAAGUGGUAUCAGGAUAGCACAGAGCAAAGAAGAUAAAGAAGAUCAAGAACCCAUCAGGUGUCCGGUCCCCGGGUGCGAUGGCCAGGGCCACAUCACUGGGAAGUACGCCUCCCAUCGCAGCGCCUCCGGGUGCCCCUUGGCGGCCAAGAGGCAGAAAGACGGGUACCUGAAUGGCUCCCAGUUCUCCUGGAAGUCGGUCAAGACGGAAGGCAUGUCCUGCCCCACCCCAGGGUGCGACGGCUCAGGCCACGUCAGCGGCAGCUUCCUCACACACCGCAGGAGCUGAGGCACCCAUGGGGAGCUGAGGACAAGGUGGCCGUGUGCAGCCCCUCUGGAGCACGGCGUCUGCAGGGACCCCUGGGUGCUGCCGACAACAGGGGUCCACCCUGGGACGGAACCAACUGGCAGGACCCCGGGGUCCUCUCGUCUACCUCUCACCCUACAAUGCAGGCCCCAGGCCCCCAGCCGGGCAGUGAGGCCCUGUGCAUACACUGGGGCAUAGGAAUGGGACAGGGCCACCCCCUGGGGGGCCACAGCUGUCACUCUGCGCUCACUCAGUGGCCUUGAAAGAAGCGCCUGAAGCAAGAGAACAUGGGUGACGGGGUUUCCCUGAAGUCAAGUCAAAGCAGCCAACGUGCACCAUGUCCAUCCUCAUUUUAUGCGCCUUUGUCUUGGCGUAGCCUCAGCAGCUGCUUUUGGCUGCGGCUUUUAAGCUGUGAAAGUAUUUGCUGGGAAUGUCCUUGGCUCCUCACGCGGCACCUCCUCCCCGUUAGGCUGGUUUCUCUGCUGGAUCUAAAACAGGAGGGAGGAAGCAUCGUGAGUGGCAUGGGGGGGCUUGAGCGGCUCCUCCUUCUCUCCUCUGGGGGUGCCCACCGGGGCCCAAAGCUUCUGGGAACCCGGCGGGGAGCUCUGCUCCUGAGCCAGGAAUUGCCAGGCACCACACAACUGCUAUCCGCGGGGCCUGUCCGGUUUCCCCAAGUGCUUCUGCUUCAUUCGCUAAUCCAUACAGCGUAGCUCAGAAUGAUCGCUUGCCUUGGGUCCCCAAACACUACCUGAGCUGGAAAGUGCUUGUGUGAUGUGUUAGUAAUGGAUAAUACAAAAUUUUUAACAUGGGA
Molecule: small RNA, 3162 nt
Filed under: Pan troglodytes (chimpanzee)
Lineage: Eukaryota; Metazoa; Chordata; Mammalia; Primates; Hominidae
Description: processed transcript
Source: RNAcentral